Sander lucioperca (pikeperch) is the source of this 1142-nucleotide long non-coding RNA. RefSeq lists it as uncharacterized. The record is from RefSeq and is a predicted model, not a curated record. Lineage: Eukaryota; Metazoa; Chordata; Actinopteri; Perciformes; Percidae. The transcript has 3 exons.
UAAUUUGUAAUAAAGAGUAUAUCCACUUGUUCCUCGUCCCCGUUUGCUCAGCGCCGUUAAAUUGUAUAUUAAACGGGAUGCAGGAGUUUUCUACCCGGAAGUUAUUGGAAACAAACAUCGUGAUUGGGUCUAUACAUUCUCAAGUAGCUGAACCCUCCAGUAGAAAAUUUGGGCCCCCUAAAAACUGCUCCUUCUGAGCUGUGAGACUAUAAUUCCUUGCAUCGUCCAGGGCCCCUGUCCAGCUCUGGGCACCCUGAGUCAAUCAGACCUCCCAUUCGGUGCCCCUUGUGGGAUGUAACAGUUGAAUGAUCAUGUUUCAUUUGAGCUGCCCAAGCCCUUACCCUCAUGAGCUUUGAAGUAAGCUCUCACUUUGGGAAUUCUUAGUAGUCCUGCAGUGGUAUGCAGUAAAAUAUAGGCUUUAUUUUACUGUUUAAUGGAAUCUGCAAGAUUAACGUUGGCAGAAAUAUUGCUUUUCAGAUUCCAUGUAUUAUAUAGUAUAUUUUACCAAUGAAUUACUGCGCUGGGUCAUUUGUAAAAAGUGCUAAAUCUUCUUAGAUUGAGGCCUCUAGCUUUGGUGGGUUACAUUACUGUUGAAAGUGUGUAAGAAGUCUAGCAUGACCGCUUUCUUUAUUCACAUCUUGUGGCAAAAUGCAGAACUCUGUCUCUUUCAAAGGACAAUACCAGUGUUUUUCAUGUUUUGUCAUUAUGAUUAGGGUAAUGUCUGCAGUAAUGUAAAGUAAAUUAUAUGUGAUUUGUGGUAAAUAAAUGAAAACAUGCAAAAAGAAAGCUAAAAGUCAUUGAUAUAUCACUGUGCCAAAACACACCUGAGACAGGGCUACUGAGGCAGGUUUAAUGAAAAGAUCGCUCCUUCAUUUUGGUGCAAUGAUGAAGUGACAGACUGCACAGCACUCAAUAUUCAUGCAUAUACAUUUAUAUGCUACUGAUCUGUCUGCCAAACUGAUGUUAUGUACAAGUGAGCUUCAUCUCUGAUUGGCUCUUGUGUCCAGAUGCCAGAUUCCUGUAUGUACAAACUAUUUGGUAUUUUUUCUUUCUUCAAACUGUAAUGGUGUGAAAAGUUGCCCACUAUGAGAACUUGUAAAUAGCUACAUUUAAACAUGUCAAUAAAAAUAGUUUACUAUUUC